CUACGGGGUGCAGCAGUCGAGAAUAGUCUACAAUGGACGAAAGUCUGAUAGUGUGACGCCGCGUGGAUGAAGAAGCAUUUCGGUGUGUAAAGUCCUUUUCUGUGUGAGCAAUGUUUUCCAGGUUAAUAGCUUGGAGAAAGCGAUAUUAACACAGGAAUAAGCUCCGGCUAACUCCGUGCCAGCAGCCGCGGUAACACGGGGGGAGCAAGCGUUGUCCGGAAUUACUAGGCGUAAAGGGUAAGUAGGCGGAAUUGUAAGUCAGAUGUUAAAGGCACCGGCUCAACCGGUGUAUGGCAUUUGAUACUGUAAUUCUAGAGUAAGGUGGGGGAAGACGGAAUUCCUGGUGUAGCGGUGGAAUGCGCAGAUAUCAGGAGGAACACCAGAGGCGCAGGCGGUCUUCUAUACCAUUACUGACGCUCAAUUACGAAGGUGUGGGUAUCAAACAGGAUUAGAUACCCCAGUAGUC
This 466-nucleotide ribosomal RNA is filed under the name uncultured bacterium. RNAcentral describes it as "partial 16S ribosomal RNA". It matches the Rfam family "Bacterial small subunit ribosomal RNA", at positions 339 to 795 of the family's 1533-position model. The record is from RNAcentral.